GGGUUGUGAGGUUAAGCGACCAAGCGUACACGGUGGAUGCCCUGGCAGUCAGAGGCGAUGAAGGACGUGCUAAUCUGCGAUAAGCGCCGGUAAGGUGAUAUGAACCGUUAUAACCGGCGAUUUCCGAAUGGGGAAACCCAGUGUGAUUCGUCACACUAUCAUUAACUGAAUCCAUAGGUUAAUGAGGCGAACCGGGGGAACUGAAACAUCUAAGUACCCCGAGGAAAAGAAAUCAACCGAGAUUCCCCCAGUAGCGGCGAGCGAACGGGGAGGAGCCCAGAGCCUGAAUCAGCAUGUGUGUUAGUGGAAGCGUCUGGAAAGGCGCGCGAUACAGGGUGACAGCCCCGUACACAAAAGCGCAUAUGCUGUGAGCUCGAUGAGUAGGGCGGGACACGUGGUAUCCUGUCUGAAUAUGGGGGGACCAUCCUCCAAGGCUAAAUACUCCUGACUGACCGAUAGUGAACCAGUACCGUGAGGGAAAGGCGAAAAGAACCCCGGCGAGGGGAGUGAAACAGAACCUGAAACCGUGUACGUACAAGCAGUGGGAGCCCCACCACUAAGCCAGUGGUGAACUCCACAUACGCAUCCUUUGCGGAAGGUGCGGUUAACGGAGCGAAAGCGACGUUCAACCUCAAAAGAAGCAGAGGGGGCUUAGUGGUGGGGUGACUGCGUACCUUUUGUAUAAUGGGUCAGCGACUUAUAUUCUGUAGCAAGGUUAACCGCAUAGGGGAGCCGAAGGGAAACCGAGUCUUAAUUGGGCGUUAAGUUGCAGGGUAUAGACCCGAAACCCGGUGAUCUAGCCAUGGGCAGGUUGAAGGUUGGGUAACACUAACUGGAGGACCGAACCGACUAAUGUUGAAAAAUUAGCGGAUGACCUGUGGCUGGGGGUGAAAGGCCAAUCAAACCGGGAGAUAGCUGGUUCUCCCCGAAAGCUAUUUAGGUAGCGCCUCGUGAAUUCAUCUCCGGGGGUAGAGCACUGUUUCGGCUAGGGGGCCAUCCCGGCUUACCAACCCGAUGCAAACUGCGAAUACCGGAGAAUGUUAUCACGGGAGACACACGGCGGGUGCUAACGUCCGUCGUGAAGAGGGAAACAACCCAGACCGCCAGCUAAGGUCCCAAAGUCAUGGUUAAGUGGGAAACGAUGUGGGAAGGCCCAGACAGCCAGGAUGUUGGCUUAGAAGCAGCCAUCAUUUAAAGAAAGCGUAAUAGCUCACUGGUCGAGUCGGCCUGCGCGGAAGAUGUAACGGGGCUAAACCAUGCACCGAAGCUGCGGCAGCGACGCUCAUGCGUUGUUGGGUAGGGGAGCGUUCUGUAAGCCGUUGAAGGUGUGUCGUGAGGCAUGCUGGAGGUAUCAGAAGUGCGAAUGCUGACAUAAGUAACGAUAAAGCGGGUGAAAAACCCGCUCGCCGGAAGACCAAGGGUUCCUGUCCAACGUUAAUCGGGGCAGGGUGAGUCGACCCCUAAGGCGAGGCCGAAAGGCGUAGUCGAUGGGAAACGGGUUAAUAUUCCCGUACUUGGUGUUACUGCGAAGGGGGGACGGAGAAGGCUAUGUUGGCCGGGCGACGGUUGUCCCGGUUUAAGCAUGUAGGCGGAUGUUCCAGGUAAAUCCGGAACGUUACUAACGCUGAGGUGUGAUGACGAGGCACCACGGUGCUGAAGCAACAAAUGCCCUGCUUCCAGGAAAAGCCUCUAAGCAUCAGGUAACAUCAAAUCGUACCCCAAACCGACACAGGUGGUCAGGUAGAGAAUACCAAGGCGCUUGAGAGAACUCGGGUGAAGGAACUAGGCAAAAUGGUGCCGUAACUUCGGGAGAAGGCACGCUGACACGUAGGUGAAGUGAUUUACUCACGGAGCUGAAGUCAGUCGAAGAUACCAGCUGGCUGCAACUGUUUAUUAAAAACACAGCACUGUGCAAACACGAAAGUGGACGUAUACGGUGUGACGCCUGCCCGGUGCCGGAAGGUUAAUUGAUGGGGUCAGCGCAAGCGAAGCUCCUGAUCGAAGCCCCGGUAAACGGCGGCCGUAACUAUAACGGUCCUAAGGUAGCGAAAUUCCUUGUCGGGUAAGUUCCGACCUGCACGAAUGGCGUAAUGAUGGCCAGGCUGUCUCCACCCGAGACUCAGUGAAAUUGAACUCGCUGUGAAGAUGCAGUGUACCCGCGGCAAGACGGAAAGACCCCGUGAACCUUUACUAUAGCUUGACACUGAACAUUGAGCCUUGAUGUGUAGGAUAGGUGGGAGGCUUUGAAGCGUGGACGCCAGUCUGCGUGGAGCCAACCUUGAAAUACCACCCUUUAAUGUUUGAUGUUCUAACGUGGACCCGUAAUCCGGGUUGCGGACAGUGUCUGGUGGGUAGUUUGACUGGGGCGGUCUCCUCCUAAAGAGUAACGGAGGAGCACGAAGGUUGGCUAAUCCUGGUCGGACAUCAGGAGGUUAGUGCAAUGGCAUAAGCCAGCUUGACUGCGAGCGUGACGGCGCGAGCAGGUGCGAAAGCAGGUCAUAGUGAUCCGGUGGUUCUGAAUGGAAGGGCCAUCGCUCAACGGAUAAAAGGUACUCCGGGGAUAACAGGCUGAUACCGCCCAAGAGUUCAUAUCGACGGCGGUGUUUGGCACCUCGAUGUCGGCUCAUCACAUCCUGGGGCUGAAGUAGGUCCCAAGGGUAUGGCUGUUCGCCAUUUAAAGUGGUACGCGAGCUGGGUUUAGAACGUCGUGAGACAGUUCGGUCCCUAUCUGCCGUGGGCGCUGGAGAACUGAGGGGGGCUGCUCCUAGUACGAGAGGACCGGAGUGGACGCAUCACUGGUGUUCGGGUUGUCAUGCCAAUGGCACUGCCCGGUAGCUAAAUGCGGAAGAGAUAAGUGCUGAAAGCAUCUAAGCACGAAACUUGCCCCGAGAUGAGUUCUCCCUGAGACUUUGAGUCUCCUGAAGGAACGUUAAAGACGAUGACGUUGAUAGGCCGGGUGUGUAAGCGCAGCGAUGCGUUGAGCUAACCGGUACUAAUGAACCGUGAGGCUUAACCUUACAACGCCGAAGCUGUU
RNAcentral lists this ribosomal RNA (3034 nucleotides) under Salmonella enterica subsp. salamae serovar 57:z29:z42. Its description in RNAcentral is "bacterial LSU rRNA". It matches the Rfam family "Bacterial large subunit ribosomal RNA". Lineage: Bacteria; Pseudomonadati; Pseudomonadota; Gammaproteobacteria; Enterobacterales; Enterobacteriaceae. The record is from RNAcentral.